RNAcentral lists this long non-coding RNA (1895 nucleotides) under Homo sapiens (human). Its description in RNAcentral is "HSALNT0407759". The stretch from base 369 to 474 matches the Rfam family "mir-223 microRNA precursor family". Lineage: Eukaryota; Metazoa; Chordata; Mammalia; Primates; Hominidae. The record is from RNAcentral.
CUCAGUUCUGGUAUUCCAGGUUUCCCUCAAUUAUUCUGGGAAAACCUCCUUGACCCACAGGCAGAGCCUAGGGCAGCCAGGUGCUUUCUACUCUCUCUCUCUCUGCAGCUUGGAAAGUUAGUGUCUGUUGAAGAUUUCCGUUGGCUAACCUCAGUCUUAUCUUCCUCAUUUCUGUUUCCUGUUGAAGACACCAAGGGCCCUUCAAAACACAGAAGCUUCUUGCUCACGGCAGAAAGCCCAAUUCCAUCUGGCCCCUGCAGGUUGGCUCAGCACUGGGGAAUCAGAGUCCCCUCCAUGACCAAGGCACCACUCCACUGACAGGGUCACAUCUCCCAGGAAGAUCUCACUUCCCCACAGAAGCUCUUGGCCUGGCCUCCUGCAGUGCCACGCUCCGUGUAUUUGACAAGCUGAGUUGGACACUCCAUGUGGUAGAGUGUCAGUUUGUCAAAUACCCCAAGUGCGGCACAUGCUUACCAGCUCUAGGCCAGGGCAGAUGGGAUAUGACGAAUGGACUGCCAGCUGGAUACAAGGAUGCUCACCAAGCACCAAGUUCUCACAAGUUAUUUUAUGUGACUUUGCAGGAACUGAGGCAUUAUAUCUGAGGACACCAGGGGAAAAGUGUGGCAUCUCAGGGAAAUACAGCCCUGGGCUGUGUCUACACACACCAUGAGAGUGCUGAUGGGGGCGCAAUAGUCUUGAAAAUGUAUAAAGUGUCCAGGAAUGGAAGUGCUCUUUGAUUCAUUAUUAUUUUCUUCCUUCAUAUUCCCCUCCCAGAGUCUCCUAUCUAGGACAUCAGCAUUCUCACACAAGCCUAAUGGCUUAUCUGAGUAAGCAGGGCUUAGAAAUUCACUUUCUUGAUACUCAGUCUUGCCUUCUAAACACUCCUUGAUCUUGCCUACCUCUCCCCUUUUCCACAUGUCUUUUCCUGUAGGAACACUUUCUCCAUUUAUUCCUGCCUAUCCAAUUCUUCCCUAUAUUUCCUGGACCAGCUAAAGUCCAGUGUUUCCAGAGACUUUUGAAAGUCAACUUACACUUUUUCCUUCUUCAUUCACAAAGCUCUUCUUCCCUGGGCCCUGGUAUGUAUGCCUUUCUCUCCUACUGUCUAAUAGCACCUCGUAAAUUGUCAAUGAACUUUUCUAAGGGGUAUUCUUGAAUUCCCAACUAGAUUGUGAGCUUCUGGAAGACAAGGCUAUGUCUUUGAUUGUUGUCUCCCCUACCACAGCCCAGUACUUUAGUUACAGAAAAUAAUAAAUAUUUACUGAUUGAUUGACUUUCCUCUUGUCCACUAGCUUUAGGUUUGGGGGCCAAAUUCUACCCUGGAUUUUGAAAAAUUCAAACUGUGAACACCACAAUGUUAUAGAGCAUAUGAGGUAGUAGCCAGCAUGAAGGAUGUUUUCUUCCUGAGAAACAGUGUCAAGGGCUGGAGGAAGAGGGCAAAAUAGCAGACUCAGAGGGCAAAUAAAUUUUGGUAUUACUUGGUCACACAAGGUUAUACAGGUGUUUUCUUGUAGGAUUUUUCAGAGCCUUUAAUAGUCUAAUGUUGCAUUGAGAAUCUCAAAGAGGAAACCAUAGAAUGAGGCAUUUGCCAUACCUAUCUGAUCAUGAAUUUUCUUUUCCCCCACAGCCUUCUCCUGUGUCAAUGUCCAAUGAAGCACGAUUUGGGAAACUGUCCUAGAGAAACUUUAUACCUUCCCGCUCUUCUGGAGAUCUUUUCCUCUUUUCAUUCAUCUACUUUCCCCAACCAGCCAUCUGCCUAAGAAAGGUCACAUGUUAUCAUCUCAUUUUUGUUUAGCCUCUGCAGCUGUGGACUAUCUUUAUUACAUAGGAAUUCUUUACUAGCUUGUCCUGUAUUUAAAAAUAUUCUAAGUUUUGAGGCAAAGAAGAUCCAGAUGCUG